GAUAAACGCUGGCGGCGCACAUAAGACAUGCAAGUCGAACGGACUUAACCAUUAGUUUACUAUUGGAGCGGUUAGUGGCGGACUGGUGAGUAACACGUAAGCAACCUGCCUAUCAGAGGGGAACAACAGUUAGAAAUGACUGCUAAUACCGCAUAUGCCUUAAUUACCACAUGGUAAUAGAGGGAAAGGAGCAAUCCGCUAGUAGAUGGGCUCGCGUCUGAUUAGAUAGUUGGUGGGGUAACGGCCUACCAAGUCGACGAUCAGUAGCCGGACUGAGAGGUUGAACGGCCACAUUGGGACUGAGACACGGCCCAA
Molecule: ribosomal RNA, 315 nt
Filed under: uncultured bacterium
Lineage: Bacteria
Description: bacterial SSU rRNA
Rfam family: Bacterial small subunit ribosomal RNA
Source: RNAcentral